UGGUUCGAACCGUGAACCAAACCAGCGACCAUAUAUUCAACGGUUUGCAGCGCUGCGAAAAGGAUAUUUUUCAAGCUUGGCCUUAAUUUAUCGGAGGCAUAGUUAUUUUAUUAUUGCAAUACAUAGAACAUUGCUUGUAAAGGAAAUAUCUGGCUAGAAAACUCAUUCCUUAGAAUAUGAUUUUCUUCUAUUUAAAAGAACUACGUUUAGUGAACACUCCGUGCCCAACUAUUAAUUCGGGAAAUGGAAUCUCGGCAAUCAUGACUGGCGGGCAAAACUAUCUUGCGUCGACUUCAACGAGCGUCGCACCCAGGAGACAGACUGCCAAUUAACAGUUACAUGUUUGUACAAAAUAAUUGGGUUGCGUGACACGAGGAUUAGCGACAGCCAGGACGAGCAGCAGGAGCAGGAGCAGGAGAUGGGCUGCGCUAAAUAGUAAAUAAAUAGAGGAGCUCUGUUUAAAACAAACAGAGAGAAUGCCAUACACGGCCGACUAUAUAA
Drosophila montana is the source of this 501-nucleotide long non-coding RNA. RefSeq lists it as uncharacterized. Lineage: Eukaryota; Metazoa; Arthropoda; Insecta; Diptera; Drosophilidae. The record is from RefSeq and is a predicted model, not a curated record. The transcript is spliced from 2 exons.